This is an RNA transcript of Cercocebus atys (sooty mangabey), 19186 nucleotides long. It is a transcript of the gene named polypeptide N-acetylgalactosaminyltransferase 3, with no coding region annotated. The transcript is spliced from 13 exons. Lineage: Eukaryota; Metazoa; Chordata; Mammalia; Primates; Cercopithecidae. The record is from RefSeq and is a predicted model, not a curated record.
UCCCUUUCCUCGUGAUAAUCACUUCUUUUAUGGACUGAAAGCACUUUGUGCUUUUUCCUCUGUAAUCCUAGUUGAUUAUACAGUAUCUUCAUUGUUGCUCGGUGUAUAAGUCUUCGAGGUUUCAGCUGCACUCUCCAAAUCAUGAUGAGCUUCAACCAUGGCCACUGACGAAACCUCAGGCAUUUCAGCUGGUAUUUUGAACAAAUUUAUUUACUGCCUUUAUUAUAAUGUUGUCGGACAGUUGUGCAUCUAGAUGAUCUGAUGGAGUUUACACUUCAGAGUCACUGGGAAUGCCAAAGAUGUAUUUGUCUCUCAUUCAUUAAGAAGGAAAAAAGAAAGAAAAUGUAACUAAUUGAAGAGUCUGGAUGACAAUUAUCUUUUUCAAACCCCACCAUCUUCCUGGAGUCUGCGUUGUCCCCUUCCAGAAUAGAUGUGGAGUUUUUAAACGAACCUACAGUAGAAGCAAGCCUUCUCCAGGAAAUCCCAAUCUUUUUCCAAACAGGAACAGCAAGGGUUCUCUCUGUUGUGGCUGUUUUUCCCUCUGGGAAUUGGUUUGCCUUCUGAGAGCAUCCCAGGGAGGGGAGGUGCGCCCCAAAUUGGCGAGGCUCUGCCAAAUACCAAAGGCUUUUCUUUGGGAGGAGACUCCUCCUUUGGACGUGAGGCGCCCCUACCAGAGCGCCCGCGUACAGAAACGGAAACCACUAGCUGCGCUGAAGUGAGUCAAGUGAUGAAAUCAAGACUACACGGGAAGGAAGCUCACGAAACCUAACUGGUGACAGAAGCUGCUGAACCCUGCCCGAGGAAACCACAUGAGCCAGCAGUUGCUGCCCUCCCGAAGUGGUCCUCGAAGGCAGCGCACCCCUUCAUUUUGGCGAACCGAGGAGGAAGGGAGGAAGCGUGUGGGGAAAAUCUAGAACUUCUGUUUCCCCAAGGACCCAGCAGACUGCUCUGGCUACAAGGUGAUCACUGCCACCAGGUCAGUGCAGGAUUCCUUCAAUGUAGACCGGCCGGAAGCCACAACUUGCGCGGAGCAGCAGCCUCGCCGACCGCGCAGAGAGAAGCCGCGCAACAGCCAGGUUUGGCCCGGACGGCGCCCCCACCCCGCGCGCGCGGUCAACGGUUCUCACCUGGAGCGCUCAGGUAGUGCUGGGGCGGGGCGGGAGGCUGGCGCGCAGGCGCGGGAGCGGGGCCUCGCCCCUGCCGACGUCGCAGACCGCAGCUCACCUGGGAGACUCCAAGAGGAAGCCGAGCCGCGGUUCUGCCUCUCCAGGCAACGCGGGAGGCCCAGCGGGAAGGCAGGAGGCGGCGGCGGAGGAGGAGCUCUACUUAGCCGCAACUGUAGCGACAGCAACCGGAGUCGCAGCGGCAGCCACCUGCACCUGGAGCCCAGCCCACGUCCAGCGCCCGCCCGGCCGCCGCUUCCCGCCGCCCUGCCCUGCCCAGCCCACCCGUCAGGUACUACCAUUUAAAGAUACCUUCUUCUCAGCAAAUCUAUGAUAAAAAAUAUAAGUAACAGAAGAAAUAACUGUUAUUUGUCAAGUGACAAGCUUUUAAUGUCAGAAUGGCUCACCUAAAGCGACUAGUCAAAUUACACAUUAAAAGACAUUACCAUAAAAAGUUCUGGAAGCUUGGUGCAGUAGUUUUUUUCUUUAUUAUAGUUUUGGUGUUAAUGCAAAGAGAAGUAAGUGUUCAAUAUUCCAAAGAGGAAUCAAGGAUGGAAAGAAACAUGAAAAACAAAAACAAGAUGUUAGAUUUAAUGCUAGAAGCUGUAAACAAUAUUAAGGAUGCAAUGCCAAAAAUGCAAAUAGGAGCACCUGUCAGGCAAAACAUUGAUGUUGGUGAGAGACCUUGUUUGCAAGGAUAUUAUACAGCAGCAGAAUUGAAGCCUGUUCUUGACCGUCCACCUCAGGAUUCAAAUGCACCUGGUGCUUCUGGUAAAGCAUUCAAGACAACCAAUUUAAGUGUUGAAGAGCAAAAGGAAAAGGAACGUGGGGAAGCUAAACACUGUUUUAAUGCUUUCGCAAGUGACAGGAUUUCUUUGCACCGAGAUCUUGGACCAGACACUCGACCUCCUGAAUGUAUUGAACAAAAAUUUAAGCGCUGCCCUCCCCUGCCCACCACCAGUGUCAUAAUAGUUUUUCAUAAUGAAGCGUGGUCCACGUUGCUUAGAACUGUCCACAGUGUGCUCUAUUCUUCACCUGCAAUACUGCUGAAGGAAAUCAUUUUGGUGGAUGAUGCUAGUGUAGAUGAGUACUUACAUGAUAAACUAGAUGAAUAUGUAAAACAAUUUUCUAUAGUAAAAAUAGUCAGACAAAGAGAAAGAAAAGGUCUGAUCACUGCUCGGUUGCUAGGAGCAACAGUCGCAACAGCUGAAACGCUCACAUUUUUAGAUGCUCACUGUGAGUGUUUCUAUGGUUGGUUAGAACCUCUGUUGGCCAGAAUAGCUGAGAACUACACAGCUGUUGUGAGUCCAGAUAUUGCAUCCAUAGAUCUGAACACGUUUGAAUUCAACAAACCUUCUCCUUAUGGAAGUAACCAUAACCGUGGAAAUUUUGACUGGAGUCUUUCAUUUGGCUGGGAGUCACUUCCUGAUCAUGAGAAGCAAAGAAGGAAAGAUGAAACCUACCCAAUUAAAACACCCACUUUUGCAGGAGGACUUUUUUCCAUAUCAAAAGAAUAUUUUGAGUAUAUUGGAAGUUACGAUGAAGAAAUGGAAAUCUGGGGAGGUGAAAAUAUAGAAAUGUCUUUCAGAGUAUGGCAAUGUGGUGGGCAGUUGGAGAUUAUGCCUUGCUCUGUUGUUGGACAUGUUUUUCGCAGCAAAAGCCCUCAUAGCUUUCCAAAAGGCACUCAGGUGAUUGCUAGAAACCAAGUUCGCCUUGCAGAAGUCUGGAUGGAUGAAUACAAGGAAAUAUUUUAUAGGAGAAAUACAGAUGCAGCAAAAAUUGUUAAACAAAAAGCAUUUGGUGAUCUUUCAAAAAGAUUUGAAAUAAAACACCGCCUUCAGUGUAAAAAUUUUACAUGGUAUCUGAACAAUAUUUAUCCAGAGGUGUAUGUGCCAGACCUUAAUCCUGUUAUAUCUGGAUAUAUUAAAAGCGUUGGUCAGCCUCUAUGUCUGGAUGUUGGAGAAAACAAUCAAGGAGGCAAACCAUUAAUUAUGUAUACAUGUCAUGGACUUGGGGGAAACCAGUACUUCGAAUACUCUGCUCAACAUGAAAUCCGGCACAACAUCCAGAAGGAAUUAUGUCUUCAUGCUGCCCAAGGCCUCGUUCAGCUGAAGGCAUGUACCUACAAAGGUCACAAGACAGUUGUCACUGGAGAGCAGAUAUGGGAGAUCCAGAAGGAAGUAUCCACAAGCCUCAGAGCCAAUCAGAUCAUCACACCGAGGAAGAAAUAGACUAGCGAUUCUUCAUCAUGAUCUUUAAAGAGCAGCCAUACUGACACCAUAAGAGUUCCAAGGUCAGUACUCACCUAAUGCUGGAUAGCUAAGGAAGAGGCAGGACCCGACCUUUAGUGAAACCUAACAUUCAAGAAUGGAAAGACUUCAGGAAGAGGGAAGUCUAUGUAUCAAGGUAGUGAAACAGAAAUUAAUGGGGCUUAUUCAGGGGGAAAAUAUAUCCACUAUUUUGCUUGCUUAUAGAAGUAAGUAUAUAGAAAUAAUGGGAUAAUGUGGGAAAGGUUGGCCUAGACUAGGGGAAGAUACCUUGAGCGCCAGGAUAAAGAGAUAGAACCAAACUAAGAUAAUUCCACUUUUGUCCUGGAUUUUCCCUAAGUCCCGGAGUGAAGUUGAACAAUUUACUUCACUCCUAGUGCUCCAGGAUGCUUUACAAUAAUAAGAUAUAUUGAAGUUGAUUUCUAUAGAAAGUGUUUUAUUUGGGGUAAUGCUUUUUUUCAUGAAUAACUAUACAAGUUUCCAAUUAUUACUAUAACAAAUUACCACCAACUUAGUGGCUUAAAACAACACAAAUGUAUUAUUUUAUAGUUCUGGUCGUCAGAAGUCUAAAAUCAAGAUGUUGCAGAGCAUCAUUCUUUUUGAGGGUGUUAGAAACAAUCUGAGAAUUUAUCUCCUUGCCUUUUCUAUCUUCUAGAUAUUGCCUGCAUCUUCUAGAUGUUGCCUGCAUCCUUUGACUAAUGGCUCUCUCUCCCCUAUCUUCAAAGUGCAUCAUCAUCACACCUUUUUCUGGCUUCAUCAUCACAUCUGUUUCUGAUUUUGAUCCUCUUGCUUCCCUCUCAUAAGGGCCCUUAUAAUAACAUUGUGACCACCUGCAUAACCAAAUAACCUUCCUUCUCAAGAUCCUUCACCACAUCUGCAAAGUCCCUUUGCCACUGAAGGUAACAUGUUCAUAGGUUCUGGGGACAGCAAUGAGGACAUUUUUGGAGGACCAUUAUUUAGCCUAUCCCAGUUACCUAUUGAUUUCCUAGAACACUUAAUAUAUAUGUUAUGAAUGCAUCUCAUUCUAGACCUCCAGGAAUGGAGUCUAGAAAUAGGCAUUUUAAAUAAACUUCCCCAAGUCUGAAGUGCACUGCUGUGAGAAAAGGCACGUCACUAAAGAUCUUUUAGGAUAAGUAGAGGAAUGAAAUUAGUACAACAGUGCUUUAAGAUAAGCAUUGACACUUUCAAAAUCAUGCAAAAGUUAACUAAUAUUAGGAGUUGUUGAGUUUUUUGUUUGUAGUCAUUAUUUAUUUAUGUAUUUAUUUAUUUUUAUAAGAUUCUGCAUAGAAUUUGGGUCAAAAAAAGGAAAUCAGAAGGCAGUUGGUUUGGGUGUGAUAGGGUAGGCAAGCCUGCUCUUCUAAUCUAGGAAUUACCCUGUUUAUUCAACUCCUUUGCUCCUUGGGGGAAUCACUGCUUCAUAAAACCAUUUUCCUAUGACAUUGCCUGCCAGCAAGGAACCCUCUCAAACCCUGUUGCAGUCUGAAUAUAGACACAUACUGUGACAGCACCCAGGCACGUGGAAAGAGAUUCAAAGCAAAGUCCUGAAUGGCAAGAUCUCCCUUCUCCCAUUAGAGAUGACCUCAGUUACAGAGUGAUGCCUUGUUCAAAAGCACAACCUUCCUUAGCUAUCCACAUCCAAUGACUGAUCAUGGAGGACAUAUAAAGAUCUGAAAAGUUUGGCUCACUAGGGGACAACACCAAAGAGUCAUACGGCUCUGGAGUUCUCUGAGGGUUGGGCUGAGGCUCUGUCAGGCCUGCUUCAUAAUUCAACUUGUCUCUCUGUUCAAUUGCUUCCUCCUCCUGGCUUCCACAGCUUUUGAAACUUAAUAAAUACCUUGCAAGUCCAACUCCAUUUCAGAGUCUUUAAAAACCCAAUCUGACAUUUGGUAUCAGAUUGGUCCAAAAAUGAAGUUGAUAAGAUAAAUUUUGAAGCUUUAUCAUUUGUCACUUGGCUAGUAAUGUGGACCCCAUCACUGAUGGUACUGAGGUACAAACAAUCCAAUGGAAAUGAAAAGACCCUGAAACAACAGAGGAUAGGAGGUGCCACAUAAUUGCUGAAAAGCAGGUGGAUGCAAUUAUCAUAAUGAGCAGCAGAGCCAGAGUGGCAGCCAGUAGGGCCUGACCCACAGAGAGUCGUAGAGAUGGUUAAUAGAAACUCAUAACCCCGGGGGUAAAAUAGAUGGGCAGCCAACAAGGAGACUUUGGUUUAUACCAUCACAAGAAAUUAAGGUAAAUAAUUAGAAGCCCCAGUUAGUGAAGGAACGCACCCCAAUAAGAUAGUCAUGCCAAUAAGAUGUCAUAGUCCUUUGCUCACUUUCCAGAUAUGAGUUCAUUUUCAGACCCAGGACCCACUGACUGAACAAAUGGCCAGGUCCCUAGGAAGAAAGACCCAGCGACACUAUGCAAGUAUAUAUGAUAAUGAUUCCCCCAGUCCAUCUUUAAAAGUACCUACAACUGUUUACUUGGGUGACUACGUACAAGGGAAAGGGGAACACUCAAAACAUUUUGGGACUGUUUGACACUGGGUCUGAGUGAACACUGAUACCCGGAGAACUGAAGCCUUACCAUGCAUGGGGCCCUCCUGUUCUAAAGUGGGAGCGUGUAGAAACCAGGUAAUGAACAGACUCCUGGCAGAGAUCUGGCUUGCAGUAAGUCCACUAGGUCUGAGGACCCACGCAGUGGUCAUUUUCCCUGGCUGCAAGUAUGUAAUUGAAGUUCUUAUGUUUGGAAUAUAUGCAAUCCCAACAUUGAACCUUUAGUGAGUCGGACAGAACCUAUAGAAGUGGGGAGAGCCAAGUAGGUGUUUCUGAAACUGUUUGUAUCCCCCACCCAAAUCAAGGUAGUACAUAAAAUACAGGGGGAAUAGCGGAAAUUAUUAGUACCUUUAGGAACCUAAAAGAUAUAGGGGUAGUGGUUGCUAUCAUAUCCCUACUUAAGUUAUCUUAAUGCAGUGACUUGCUCUUGUAGAACACAGAUGGAUCCUGGGAAAUGAGAGUAGAUUAUUGCAAAUUCAAUCAAGUGGUCACCUCAAUUGCAGUUGCUGUGCCAGAUGUAGUAUCUUUGCUAGAGUGGGUUAACCAACCUCAGUCACAUGGAUGAGGUUAUGUAAAUGGCAAAUGUGUUUCUUUCUAUUCCAAUUAGAAAAAGAGGAUCAGAAAGUGUUUGCAUGUGCAUAGAAUGGGCAACAAUAUAUAUUUACUUUUGUAUUCUGUCAUAAUAUAGUACAAAGUGAUCUCAACUCUCUAGAUUUCCAACAGAAUACCACUCCUUUAUGGUAUUAUGCUAAUUAGGCCAGAUGAGCAAUAACUUGUCAACAUGCUGGUGGCAUUGGUGAAACACACACACAGUGGAGGAUGGGAGAUAAACCCUUUGAAGAGUUAGGAGCCUGCCACACUAAUAUAGUCUUUAGGCAUUCUGUGGUGUGGGGAGUUCAGGAUGUCUCUUCCAUAGUAAAGAUACAUUAUUACAUGCUGCAACUCCCACCGUGAAAAGAGAAGCACAACACUUGAUAUGCUUCUUUAGGUUCUAGAUGUGACAACGUAUUUCUCAUUCAGGAAUACUGCUCUGACCCGUAUGUUGGGCAAUGUAAAAGGCUGCCAGCUUUGAGUGAGACGUAGAGCAGGGAAAAUCUCAGUAGGAGGUAUUGGUUGCAGUCCACCAAGUCCUGUUGUUGGGUCAUGUGAGCCAGCAGACACCACGAUAUUAGUGGUAGCAGUGGUGGGAAAAGAUGCUGUGUGGAGGUUAAGUGCCAGUGGUAGAAUCCCAACGUAGGCUAUGGGAUUAAAGCUUUGCCAUUUGUAGCAGUAAUGUGUAUGCCUUUUGAGAAACAACUCCUGAUAUAUUACUGAAGCCUCAUAAGAGAUUACGUGCCUGCUAUGGGACACCAAGGCACUGAACCUGUAGAACCACGUAUCUUAAGGCAGGGCUAGCAGCACUUUAUUUUAAGAGGUGGAUUCUAGAAGUAGAAAACUUGGAUCAAGCAUAAAUAGGACUGGAAGACACAAAAAAGCUGCAUGACAAGAUAGUCCCAUCUUCCAUGUCAUUUGCCAUCAUUUUCCCUGAACCUCUUCCUCAGCACAUCCCUCACUCCAUAUGGAGGAUGCCACAUGGCUCACUUCUGGAGGAGGAAAAAGCCUUCAGAUUUGGUUUAUAGAUGGGCUGGUUUAGUAGGUGGAUGCCAAACAAGCCAAAAAUCCAUGGCAGCUACACUGCAAUCUUGCUCAGGAGUAGCUCACGGGGCUAGAGAAAAAUCCUUAAAAUAGGCAGAGCUUUAAGGUCCACUUUGUGAUUCUCUUUGUGUGGAAGAAUAAAUAGGAGCUCUGUUAGAAUAUAUAUGGACUGAUGGGUAGAAGUGAAUAGCCUGGCUCAGGAUGCUGAAAGCAGAGAUAUUAGAAGAUUGGGGAAUAGGAGGCUUGGAGUAUAAGCAUGUGAAUGACUUGUGAGAGAGGACACAAAGUGUGAAGAUCUUUGUGUUACAUGUUAACACCUAUCAACUAGAGAGCAACCACCACAGAAGACACACUAAACAACAGUGUGCACCUGUGUUGUCCAAUAUUGUAUGCACUAGCCACACAUGGCUACUCCAAACUGAAAUGUGCUGUAAUUGCAAAAUACACUGGAUUUCAAAGACUUAGUCUUCCAAAAAGGAUGUAAAAUGUCACCAAUAAUUUUUAUAUUGAUUACAUGUUGAAAUCUUUGGUAUAUUGGGUUAAGUGAAAUAUAUUAUUAAAUUAAUUUUAUCUUUUUGUUAACUCUUUUUAAGGUGACUAUAAGAACACUUAAAAUUGCAUAUGCAGCUCACAUUAUAUUUGUUUUUGAUAGUAUUAAUACAGACAGAAUAACUUGGCUGUUUGGCAGCAAGCAGCCAGCCUCAGUUAUUGGCUACUCCAGGGUUGCUGUGAUAGGUACAUGGAUUGGGUGGCACGAAGGCUCUCCUUGGGUCCAUGAGCAUGGCCUGCCACUUACCAAGACUGAUAAAGUUCCCGCUGCUGCCAGAUGCACAGUUUGCCAGCAACAGAGACGGAUGCUGGGCCCUCCAUAUGCCACUACUCUUCUGGAGCCUAAGCAGACACUUGUUGGCAGAUUGAUAACAUUGGGCCCCUUCCAUCUUAAAAGGGCCAGAGAUUUUUUUGUGUUUUUAUUUGUUGUUUGUUUUAAAUAAAAAUAGACAUAUAUUCCAAGUAUAAGUUUGCCUUUCUUACCUGUAGGGCCUUGGCUAACACCAUUAUUCAAGGACUUACAGUAUAUUUGACCUACUCACUUAGGAUCCCACAUAACAUCAUAUCAGAGCAGGUGAACUAAUUUACAGUAAAGGAGGUGUGGCAUUGGGCACAUGACCAUGAGACCCACUGAUCAUAUCACAGACUUCAAAGCUCCUGGCCUGACAGAGCAUUGACUGGCCUGUAGAAGGUGCAGUUGAAGUCCAAGUUUGGAGAUGAUGUUCUGCAAGAAUAGGUUACUAUCCUCCAGGAUCCAGUAUAGACAUUGAAUCAAAAACCUUUACAUUAUAAUAUGUCCCCCAUAGGAAUAACACAUGGGUCCAAACUCCAUUGGGUGGAAGCAGGAAUGGCUCCAGUUAACAUGACCCACAGGAGAAAACUGUGGUUCCUAUUCCACAACUUUGUAGGGUUAAAUGUCUUUGCAGUCUUAGAGGUCCUAGUCCCCAAAGAGGUCACACUUUUAUCAGGGGACUAAAGAGUCCCAUUGGACUUAAGCUAUUGCUACAUCCUAGGAUUUUUAGGCAAGGAGAAAAAAUACCUCACCAUCUUGGUAGAGGUAUUUGACCUUGAUCCUCAGGAAGAGAUGGGCCUACUGCUACAUAAUAGGUGCAGGAAGUAAUAUUCACUUAGGUGCCUUUUGGCUUUGGGUCACACCACCAAGUAAGCCAUUGAGGCUAGCAACUGUGUUUGCUGAAGCCGAGAGGAAUGUAGAAUUAAUAGUGAGAGAGGGAGAUGGUCAGUUUUAGCUAUGGCUUUAGGACCAGCCAGAGUGGCAGGAACUGUAAUUUAUUUUACUAACCUUGGUCCUUUAAGUUUUCCCCAGGGAGAGAGGCCCACCAGAAUCCUGAAGGAGUUGUUCCCUGAAAUUUAAGUGAUGACAUGAAUAUGAGGACCUGACGGAUGGACAUGGAAGACACAGAGCUGUUCUACCUUCAAAAAUUCCCUUUCAAGGAAGGACUUGUCCCAGGUCCUAAGAGUGCUGUCAGAAAAACAUCCUCCAACUUUCAGCUCUUUUCAGGCUUUCUCCUCACUGCAGAGUGCCAGCUCAUCUCAGAGCACUCCCUUUCUGGGGCGGAAGACAUCCAGAGACUGACUGUGGAGUGGCUAUAUAGGCCCAGCCAUUUCAGCCCGCGAGGGGAUGACUCAGAGGAUCCCUUAUCCUCUAGAGCACUCCAGUGGGGUCGGUCUGCAUCACAGCCUGAUUUCUGUCUUUUCCUAAUCUGCUUCCUCCCACUGGCUCCCACAAGAAUUGAUUCCUCAUGGAAAUCCUGCAUGCUAAACUCCAUCUCAGAGUCGUGUGCUUAUGGCAAACAUAGCCUGAAACACUAGCCUUUCUAAAGCUUCGGUCCUCUCUGUUAUUUAGUUCCUUCUAUAUAUAUAUUCUCCCUGUAAAAUUCUCAUUCGCUCCAAAUCUCAUAUCUUUGUCUAAGCUCUAGACUUACAUUUCCUUCUGUCCAUUUGUUAUUUUCACUGAGUAUCCCAGCAUCAAUUUAAGCUGUUCAAAAUGAACACAUCUCUUCCUCCUUAUAACAUUCUAAUUUAUGCUGAUGAUGUCUAUCUUCUUAUGUCCUUCUCCAUAUUCCACCUAUGGUAUUUUGGCUCAUAAUUAUUUUGUUACCUUUAAUCUCUCACAUCAUAAUAGGCUUUCAAAUAGCUUUUUCUCUGCUGUAAUUACCCACAUCUUUCUACUUGCUUGUCUAGAGGGACUCUGCCUGUCUUUUGCCCCAGUGCCUCCUCUGAGUGUAGCACAUUCUUGCACAGGAUCCUAAAUCAGAGUAGGUUCUCAACUCUUAAUUUUUUCUAAUGAACAGUGACUGCAAUAGCGACUGGAAAGAUUUUUACUCCGGCAUUUCCAUCCUCCCAAACUGUCUGUGCACUGUAGCCACACUGAUAUUCCACACUGCAAAUCACUCUUAUUUGAUUGAUUUUCCUUUUCUAAAAUCUUCAGGAUUUCCUGAAGGAAAUAUCCUGAUUUCCCUAAGGAUAUAAGCCAGAUUCCUUGGGUUGGUCUUUAAAGCUUUGCACUCUCUAAAUUCACUCUCCUCACCUGAUUUGUCAUUUGUUCCUGAGAGUAAAUGAUCUGUUCUUAACCAGGUCCUUCUGCCCCCGACCAGAAGAGUGAUUUUGUUCUGAUCAGCCUUUCCUCAAAUUGCUCCAUAAUGUGGACCAUGGGGGUGCCCCUGCUAGUUGAAAUUCUCCCUCUCUCUCUGAAUCUGACACCUUUUCCACGGUUUCAGCCAGCCAUCUUUCCCUCAUCUGAACUCCUGUACAGGAGUGGACUUUGCAUCACUCAUUUUUGUACUUUGCAUACAUCAGUAAAUGUAUUUUUAAGCAUCUACCGUGUUUUAAACACUAAGCUGAAUGCUGAGAAGACAGAGAGUAAUGAGAAGAGUUUUCUGUUCUCAGAAAGUACUGAGGGGGAGUAGGUGCAUAAAUAAGCAAGUGCAGUGAGACUCGAAGGGGCUCUAACACAUGUCUGCUUUGUAUAAAACAACAGGCAAUCGAUUUUCAGGAAUACUGGAAGGGCAACAUAAAGGAAGGAAUAUUUUGAGUUUUCUCUUGAAAAAUAAAUAGAUGGUCAUUAGAAUUGUGCUGUCAGGAUAGGUUUAUGGGGUGUAUAUUCUUGGCAGAAGAGACAAGCUGAACAGAAGCAGGGAAAAAUGGAGUAGCAGGUGAAAUCUAAGGAACCGCUCUUGUGGGCAGUGGAGGACAUGGGAAGUAAAGGGAGAGCUUGUACCCAGAUCUCAGACGACCUUGUGAGGCAUUCCAAGGAGUUUGAAUUUUGUUUUAUUGGCAGUGAGGAGAAAACACCACACAAGAUUUUUAAUUCAGUGAAUAACAUGUUCAAAUUUGAGUUUUAGGAUGAUUGCACAAUCAUAUUAUUAUUUGCUUUUAAAAAUAUAGAUCCAGUUUCUAAAUAUAAAACAAGUUGUUGGAAGAAAGUGUGUUGCAUAUGAUAGGAGAUUUUAAAAAAUUCAAUUUUUUUCCUUCAUCCUACUGCCAAUAAAAGUUAAGUUUUAGUUACUUUAAGCCAGCAGCUUUAAACAGAUGGGCAUAUAUACGUACCCAUGCGUACGCAUAUAUUCUAAACAUCAAAUCACACAGAUUCUGCUUUAAGCAAAGCAAAACAAAAAUACUACGAAGCAGUUAAGUUAAGGAUACUACUUACAAGAGAUUGAAUUUGUCCUUGUAAAAAUAUCCUCCAAAUUUCAUUUACAUAGAGAGUUCUCCUCCGGCCCUUGUGUUUGUUUACGCAUCAUCACUUGAUGAAGGGGUUGAAUAGCUGAGAAAGUAAAGUGUUAUAAGCAUCUUCACUUAGGGAUGAAUCCUAAUAAAGUUAACACAUCUUUGAAAUGACAAUGUAAUGAACCAUUUCACAGGAACUGGCUUCACACACAACUUUUCAAGAAUAGUAUCUGUUACACAGUGGAAGGGAGGUAUCCUUGUGUGUGCUGGGACAGCGUUAAGGGAUUGCAGCUCAGGAUGUAAGAACAAAGGUUUUACACAACACACAACAGAAAUGCAACAGUAGAUACAACUUAGAAACCGGUUUUACUCUGCUGCAAACAGAUGGACAAGAUAUUGUACAAUAUGUAAUAAAAAGUACAGCAUAAUACAAGUGCCACUAAUCAAAGAAACUUAAGGAUAAGACUUAAAAAUGCUUAUUUGUUAUAUAUAUAUACACACUGCAAUAAAAAGCCACAAUAAAUACACGAAUUUCCAUGUCAUUCAUAAUAAAUACUGAAAAUAUAAAUACAGAAGACUACAGCUAAUAUGAAUAAAUUAUUACAACAUAAGGUCCAGGUUAAGUUCUGUUGAAUAUUAUUGUAGCUUAUUUUAUAUACCCUUUGGCAUUUUUGAUGUUAUAACUUACACACAAGAGAAAUCAAUCUAGAAACUGUGCGACAUACAACAUGACAUCUUAGUGUAACAUGACUGUAUGUGUGGACUGGAGUUGAUUUUCCUCCCUUUCAACCGUUUUAAGUCAUUAGAUUGAACAUAACUAAUAAAUAUCUAUUGAAGUACUGUUGAUAUUGAAUGAAAGUAACAAUAAAAAUCAGCUGAAAGAUAAAACUAACCAUAACAUCACAAAAUACAGUUCAGUGGCUUUUCUGAGUUUUUAAAGUUACUUUUUUUUUUUUUUGCCAGCAACAAACAAAAAGUAAGGAAACAAAUAUUCUCAAAAGACUUCCCUUGUGUAAGGACCAUUCCCAGUAUCUGAAUGGUUCAACACAGACUGAAGGAUAAUACCCAAGUCCUUUGGAUCAUUUGAUCUACCAAUACAUUCAGCUCACUAGAUUCCACCAGAAUUUGCAAAUGUACCAAAUUUCUAUGGCAGUUGGAAAGUGAGACAUAGUUGAUGUCUAAAACUAUGAUCAAGAUGAAGACGCUGCAAAAAGUGACAUAUGUCUAUGCAACCAAUUAUACAUAUUUUUAAAAUGGGAAACAUGUAUUUUUGACAAAUGUCAAAUGAUCUAUCAAAUUGAUAUACCCUGUGACACUGAGGGAAACACACUGAAAGAACAAAGUGCCAUUUUCUGCAUAAACAGGCAUUAACCAGUACAUAUGUAGUAAUAGUUCUAUCUUAAGAGGCUAUUACACCAGAAAUUCAAUAAACUAAAAAUAAAGCAGAUCAACUUUACUAAGACACAAUAAAGGCUGAGGUUCUUAGGAACAGAGCUGUAAUCUACAGGUUUAUUUUUAUUUUUAUUUUUUUACUAUUUCUGUACUGUAAAUUUCUAGCAUUUAUUAUACAUCAAACACUUUUGAAACAUGUUUCACAAACUAUGCCUCAGACUUAUUUCCAUAGAGGUGCCUAGAGUCAAUUAAAACAUGGGCCAAAUUUUAUUCACCAUUCUUUACAUGAUCAUUCUAUAGCAUUAGCCUUUUUUUUUUUUUUUUUUUUAAAUAAAAAGGGUCAUUUCCCCCAGUGUUAUUUGUGGGGAGUAACCACACUGAUGUGGCUGUCAUUUCACAAGAGCGUCCGAGUUGGGGAGAUAUGCAGCUGUACCAAGAUUGAAAAAAAUCCCAUGGAGAAACGAAACAUUGAUUUCAGGGGUGCUCCUCAUCUUCCGGUGAGUUCUGACUCUGAGUUGGGUGUCAACUCUGAGCAGACAAAAAAGGCUCUGAAAGCUCCAGGGAGUGCUUGAAUCAAGUGAUGUAACCAGAAAAAUCACCAUUCUCCAGGACUCCUCCUUCGUUUUCAGGCCUUGUCAAGAAGACAAAUUUUUAAAUCAUUUUCCUGACCCCUGAGAAAGCAAGAAGCCAUUGUUUAAAUAACACAGGGACAAAGGCUGGGAUCAAAUGGUGGCUGUGUAAAUCUCUACAGUCAUUUUAUUCCAUCAGACUCUUCACAACUACUCCUAUCUCCCCCAGGAGGAGUGGAAAAACUUUGGAUUCUUAUUUGCCAUUUUAAGCCAAGGAAAGAUUAAUGAGAAGGUCAUUACUUAGAAGUAAGAAUGUAGAAAAUGCUUACUUUUGUAAUUGUAACUUCUGAGAAAAUGGAACAGUUUAAAAGUCAAGUCAUUUGAUCCUAGUUCUGAUGUUUGUCACUGGGGAUCUGAAACAGUCACUUUUCCUGACAUUACCUACUGACAUAAGAGCAAUCACAAAAACAAACAACAACUUUAUGAAAACCUAAUACAGCCAUAUUUGUCAAAAGCUGGUCAUGUUACUGACCAUUGUCUCUGAAUCCGUGUCUUUCUUUAAAAAUCUGAUUUCUUAGGAGACUUAUGGAACUAUCACGUAGUAGUAAUGUAAUAAUCACCAAAUGUAGGGGGAAACCCAGCUUCCCUUGAAUCCCCUAGUACAAUGGCCCAAAUCACCACAACUGUUGCCAGGUGCCUAACCCUCAAAGACUGGCCAAGAUAUUUUCUUAUUGUGAGAAAACCUAAGAGAGCUGAAUUGUGUUGCCAAGGAAACUGCCUUCCCUAGAGAUGUUAAGAAUAGAUGGCGAUCUCUCCUGUUGGGCAUGCCUGAGUGACAGUCCUCCCUGGCGGUAGAUCGAUGAGCCAUAUGACCUCUGGAGAUCCCCCCUAGUUUCAGGACCAUAAAAUUUGAAGAAUACAGAAGAAUCUCAAACUUUCCAUUAUUCACACACAGUUGGCCAUUGUGAGUAUCUUUGAAAAGAUUAAACAAUUCUGAGAUCCCCAGUUGGCAUGACUAGUGCCAAAUGAAUCAGGGUUCAGAUGGUAACCCAUGGCAGUGUGCUCUAUUUGUUUGAGAUACAAAUGAAAUGACUUUGCCAACUAUUACAUCUUAAAAAUCAGUCACCUUCAGAUAUCAUUUGGAUACCAUUAAACAACUCAAGGACCAACACUAAAUAAAUUAAAAACAAAACAAAAUAACUACCACCACCAGGCAACAAGUUCCUAGGUUAGAUAUUUAGGUUUUUCCAUUUUAGGGUAAUUGAGAUUUGGAUUUUAGCUUUCUCUUCUCUUUUUUAUUAAAUAAAGUUGCAAUAAUGUAUAUAGAUCUUUAAAUUUGUUUUAAAGAGGGGUGGCUUUUUUAAUGGCUAAGGAAAAAAGCUUGGUGACCACAUGAAAAGGAGGAGCAAAACAAAAUUGGAUACGAUGUACUACAAAGGUAGAAAUUUCAAACUCCUUUUCCAUAGGUCCCCUAUGUAGAGACAACAGCAAAACCAUUAUUAGGAAGCCAUGCCCCUGACAAGAAGGGCAGAGGGUAGUAGCCUUAUCCAGUGUGUCUCUGGUAAUACAAGUACCUAGAUAAAUUUAAAAGAAACAUCUUCUAAGUCAUUUUUCUUCAAAAUACUCAUUAAUAAAUACCUUUUAAGAUAAUCCCAAGACAGAUAAAAAUAUUGGGAGAAAAUCAAAAGAGAAAAGAAAGAGAUACUCCAACAAAGAAGCUAUUCUAAAGUUACAACUAAAACUGUUCAAUCAGGUCACAUAAAUUAACUUAGGCAAUUGCAAGGCUAAUUUCUACCAUAAAUUUGUCUCCUUCUAACUCUAAUCAAUAUACGUUAUCUUAAAAAUAUUUAAAUGGCCUCACAUGUCACUAAAAUGAGUUAAUGAAUGAACUUAACUAUCACCGUGGCAAUGAUAAAUAGAGGAAUUACAUCAUUAGCAUGCUGAAUACAAAUGUUGUCCAAAAUAAAUUCUAUCACAUUCCUUUGAAAUUUUAGUCCUGCCAGAAACUUUUAUGAGAGAUGACAUAAGAUGACACAGUGAAGUUGACAGUUCUUGAAUUAUAAGCCAAUGCAAAGGAUCAAAUUUAUAAAAGCAAUUACCCUGUAUAGUGAUAUACUUAUCACAAGUAAAAGAAAGUAGUCACCAACGUGACUUAUAUCUUUGAAAUGACUUCAUUUCCCAUGGAUACAACAAGUAUCUGUAUUUACUAAAAUUCCAGGCUAGAUGUGAAUAUUUUAAAAAUCCACAUAUAAAAGUGAACUGAAACAUAUUGGUUUAGGCUUUGAAUCGGAUCAUAUUCACUCUCCUGGUUCCCAUCAUUCUAUUGGCAUUACCACCCUCAGGAUAGGAAACCCAAGGCAACACAGACUUAGACCAGUCUGAGAACUGAUCAUCAGGUAAAACACAGGUCACAUCAAAUGUUUCAGCUUGAAUUUCUGGAAAAAAAGAAUAAAACAAAACACCUGCAUUGUUUAGGAAGGGGGUCUCACGGUCCAGUUUGAAAAAGCCAAGAAAGGAGUCAAAUAAAAUUUAGAAGUGACUGUUUCAAGGACUCACAUAGAAUAUCUAGAUUUGGUAGGUAAAAUGUUAAAGAAGAGCUUUUUUAAAUGUCUGCACUUUUUACUUUUGACAAUCAUGAAAGUCAUUGAUCAGUUAUUUUAAUAUAAAAUGUGUUUAUAUUUUUUAACAAAACAGUUUCUUUCGAAUGCUGUAGGUGUGUGUUUUCAUUUUCUAAAGCAUCAAAUGACUUAUAGACAGUAAAAAUGUAAUUGAUAUGAAUGUUGGUCAGCAGAAGUGAGCACCAACUGGGCUGAAAGGGUGUCCACAUUGUAGCUGCCCCUUCUAGGUUUGGGGCUGUCGUUUGUAACUCUAGUCUGUAUGGUGUAAUAAGAUCUAGCUUAGCUCUGCUGAGCAUUUUUUAAAAAAUAAUUCCUAGAAGACACCACCACUUAUUAACUUUCAUUGCACCCUCACUUCCGCUCUAAUACUUCCGUAAUUCUAGUGGGUAUUUAAAUUGCUGAUAUUCAAUUAAAUCAAUCAAAUUCUUUACUGCUGUAGAAAACAUCUAUUUUCUGCACAAUUAUAUAUGGUGCAAAGUUAUAGCACUUUGGCUUAGGCAUUUUUGUUAUUCCAGCACUAGUUAGCAGAUUUCAGAAAAAGUAAUGCAAUCAGAAGCUGAAAAUUCAUAUUAGACCUAAGAGUAAUCAAGCCUUUAAACGCUGGGUUUUGGUUGUGAUAAGAAUACAACCAACAGUUCCAAUUUAAAAUUACAGACAAGUCUUGCCUUCGAAAGCCCAAAGGUGCUUCCCAUUUAAGCUUGGUAUUUAAUACACCGGCUACAAUGGCACUGCAAAUUGUCUUCAAGAGAAUGAGGAGCAGAGAUGCCAUUUUAAAGAGAAAUAUUGAGUUAUAUUUGGAGAAAUAGAAGGUUUCAUGACACCUUUUAAAAAGGCAGUCUCCUUUUGGUUUCUGAGAAUACAAAUUUUCCACCUGCUAAUUUGAUGGUUUGUAACUCCAGCUGAAAGUGACAGAGUCUAAUGACGUCUCUGUUUUCCACCUGCUGCAAAUUGAUGUCUUUGGAAUUUGGAACAGGAUUUUGCUAUUUUGAUAGGAUUUUUUUAUAAAUAGAAGUAAGAGUGAUUGUGUUCCACACUGUUGUCUUAAAAGUUUCCUGAAAUGUUUCCUGGAUUAUGCAUGAGUCAAAUCCUCCUUGAAACUGUCUGAUAGGAGUUUGCUGGUGUAAAUUUAGCAUCACUUAUAUAGUUCUAACAUUGAAGAAGCAAUUAAUCACAAAUUUCUUUUCAUUUGAUUCAGUCCUAGCUGGGUCCAGAUUUAAUUCAUACAUUUCAGAUGGAGGGAGAGAGAUGAAGGAAGAUCCAGUGAGUUCUACUAAUUUAGGAAAAGGAAGUUUCUUUUGGUUGCAGCUCACAUAUAAUUAGACAAGAACUGUUGUCAAUUUUUCUAAUAUCACUUGAUAAAAUCACCUAUUAAGAGGAUUUGAGAAAGCUUGAUUAUUUCAUGCCACCCUUCAUUAACAUUAUCCAUUAGAAUUUGUAGUGUUCCCCUCUUUUUACUACCCAAGACAAUUGUUCUAACUCAGCAUGUGUUCUGUAUGUAUUUGUUGAAAGAAAGAAUUGAUACUUAAUAAAUUUUGAAUAUAAAGACUAAAGAGUUAUAAACUUGUGCAACAAUAUCAAAAAUUGAAAUAAAAGAAAUAGUGAUUAGCAAGUUAUAGAAAGUAAAUCAUAGUAUGUUUUCCUGUUUAAUGGUAAUCAUAUCAAAAUUUUGCCUAGAAGUCAUCUAUUAGAGUGUAAAAUUUUAACAUUAACAUAACACUUAACUAUCUCUUUGCUUCUUGAUUAAUUUGUUAACUAGUAUUUUUGCAACCCAUAGUUUCUUUUGUGGGGGAGGGAUUCAGGGAGUAUUGCAGGACCAUAUAUAAUUGUGAAGAUUUUAAUCCUUCUAAGAAACAUGAGUUUCACAUUUUACAUGUGGCUGUCACAUUGGGAAAAUGGUUUUAUCACAAAGAAAUGAUGGGCUUUCAAAAAGUAACUAUAUUAUUCAAUCAACCAAAAGACAUGCGACAAAUGAAUUUUACCCAUGUCUUAAUAAUUAAUGAUCAAGAGAUAAGGGGGAAAACUUAAAUAAAUCUCUUUCAUUGACUUCUUUCUCCCAAAGGAAAUUGGGAAUGACAAAAGAGAUGCAAGCUGCUUCAGCCACUUGACUUUCAAAUAAAUUUGGCCAGGAUUAUAACUGGGAAUUAAGUCUCAUUUAAAGGUAUAGGACUGGUACUAGAACAGCCAGGACCGGAGCAUGAAGCUUUGCAAUUGAUAGUGAAUGACUAAAAAGUUGUGUGUCAAAAAAGACUACAGUUUGGCUAGAUAUACUAUGGGGGCAAUACAACAGCUGCAGGUCAGGUUAUUGUGUCUUGGCAUAAAGAUCUUAAGUAUUCCAACUGGCUGUAUGUAGCUUGAUCCCCAUUUUAAAAAGCUUAGAAGGACUAUAGCACUUUCCUGGCAUGUGGGCAGUUCUUUGUUGAACAGAACGGCUAUUAAUGGAAAAAAAAAAAGUCAGAUGGAACAGUGUGCUCUCUCAGCUUUUCUGGGAAAGGAACUAACAAUGAAAUGAUUCCAUCAUAAGUAUGUUUGCAACUUUGACCUGAUAUUUUCAAACUAUCACUUUACCAAUUAUCCUCUUUUUUAAACCACAUUUUUUUAGAUCAUAAAGCCCAACCAGAUUCUGGGGUCAGAAAAACUCAAUACUUACUACUGGCCAUUGCCUGAAAUCUGUCAUUCUCUAAGUGUGUGAUAUGCAUAUAUUUUGUAUGUGUGUGCAUGUGUAUGUGUUAGAUAUAUGGGAGAGUUUUAAUAAGUAGCCUGUGUAUGUGGUUU